RNAcentral lists this small RNA (126 nucleotides) under Marmota monax (woodchuck). The record is from RNAcentral. Lineage: Eukaryota; Metazoa; Chordata; Mammalia; Rodentia; Sciuridae.
GCUGGGCAUGGUGGGGCACGCCUGCAAUCCCAGCUGCUUGGAGGGGCUGAGGCAGGAGGAUCACAAGUUCAAAGCCAGCCUCAGCAGCAGGGAGUGCUAAGUUAACUCAGUGAGACCCUGUCUCUA